Molecule: long non-coding RNA, 1617 nt
Organism: Mugil cephalus (flathead mullet)
Lineage: Eukaryota; Metazoa; Chordata; Actinopteri; Mugiliformes; Mugilidae
Exons: 3
Source: RefSeq, a predicted model, not a curated record
UAUAAGUUUCCCAAUGUUAAACUCGGUUCUUCCUCUCCAUAGAGGACAGUUUUUCCGCCGCUCGCUAGAUGAUGCUGCAGCCACGUUUUAAAUCACACCACCACCGGCCCAGCGUCUUGCAGGGAGACACAGGCGGAACACAACUACCCCUUUGUUGUGUUUUUGUGUGCGUUUAAACUUGCUUCGUUGUGAUGAGCACAUGCGCUUGUUAGGAAGGAAGAAGACAAUGUUGCUGUCCUGAAUGAAAACUCCUCCCCUGCUCUGGCCCUACAGGGGACCAUGCUGGAGAAAGCUGGUGACAAAGUGCAGCAGUAAGGGCACUGCUCAGACUGUGGAUGCAGCUUCAGCCUACCAGAGCCCGACUCUGACCCUGAUUCCUCCAACCACUCUGUCGCUCCUAAACAGGGGCAUGACAGUCCUUCCAAAUGCCCCUCCUGCCAGGAAGGCAGCAGCCCCCAUAGUAAUGGUCGAAGGCCACACCGGGCAUGCGCCUGGAGCCUCACAGCUGCAGCCUGUGCACCAAAACCAAAACUGUAACAUAGAAAGUGAGAAACGGCAGUAAACGGUUCAGCUGGUGACCAACGUUGUCCUGGAGGAGCACCACCUCAUCGUUGGGGUGGUGGUGGUGGUGGACCCCGGCAUCAUCCCCAUCAACUCCAGAGGGGAGAAACAAUGUAUGCACCUCAGAGAUGGAUUCCUUGCAGACCAGCUGGACCCCAUAUAUGUGGCUUACAACAUGUGAAACAUUAACACGCUACAGAAGACAGCAGGACAGUAAAUGGUGGUAUUGAAGGCCCAGGGUCAAAAUGGCUUCCGCUGAAAGGAGAAGUAAGAAAGAAACAUGGAUGCAAAACCUCCUGUCAGUUUUCUCCUUUCCUGCCUGGGCAAAUAAUGUUUCAAAGGGCAUUGUUGUUUUAUUGAGGUGAGUUUUGUUUAUACGACAAAACUCCAUGAACCCAGGACACCUGAGAGCAGUGCAGCGGGCACUACAGCGUGCCAUUGACAUAAUUUAUUUGAUCAAUCUCAAAAUUGGUGAAUGUCAGUUGUGUUUGCCAUACACUUGUGCCAUAGCUCAGAAUUGAUGCCAGUAUCCAAAUCCUCCUGUGUCAUUACAUGUCCUAUGUUCCUCGUAGAAAGAGCCUGUCUCACGGUCAUUGUGGGUCCUUACAUUACAGCUACACUCUCUUGAACUUAGAUUUUCGUGUUCACAUUAUAUGUUUAACAAGGAAGUACACAGCAGUUGUGUGUUACUCUUUGCUCAUUCCUGCAGUUGUGUUUUAGUUUGUAGCACCAUUGGCUUCAAAAUGAUGACAUGGUGGCUCUGUCUUUUUCUUCUUCUUCUUUUUUUUAAUCUAAAACAUGUAAUAUUGUUUUAUCUUAACAAAAUGCAAUAUGAGUGAUGUGAAAGAUGUUGCUUCGAAUGACUGCAUACAGUAAGUGCCAAUCAGUUGAAGUCACAACACCGGGAGGAAUACAGUCGUUGCUUACUAUUAGCAACUCGCUAAAUGAUAGCAAUUGAGCCUUAAGUGUUUAUUUGAGACGCCUGGUCCCAUCCCAGCCAUUGUUUAACUUAAUUUAGUGAUCAGCUGCUUUUAUUGCACGUUUUUUUUUUUUUUU